This 508-nucleotide ribosomal RNA is filed under the name uncultured bacterium. RNAcentral's name for it is "partial 16S ribosomal RNA". It matches the Rfam family "Bacterial small subunit ribosomal RNA", at positions 30 to 523 of the family's 1533-position model. The record is from RNAcentral.
AUUGAACGCUGGCGGCAUGCCUAACACAUGCAAGUCGAACGGCAGCAUGAAUAGGGGUAACCUUAUUUGAUGGCGAGUGGCGGACGGGUGAGUAAUAUGUAGGAAUCUACCUAGAGGAGGGGGAUAACUUGGGGAAACCCAAGCUAAUACCACAUAAGCCCUACGGGGGAAAGCAGGGGACCGCAAGGCCUUGCGCCUUAUGAUGAGCCUACAUCGGAUUAGGUAGUUGGUGGUGUAAAGGCCUACCAAGGCGACGAUCCGUAGCUGGUCAGAGAGGAGGAUCAGCCACACUGGGACUGAGACACGGCCCAGACCCCUACGGGAGGCAGCAGUGGGAAAUAUUGGACGAUGGGCGAAAGACUGAUCCAGCAAGGCCGCGUGUGUGAAGAAGGCCUUAGGGUUGUAAAGCACUUUCAGUAGGGAGGAAGGGUGUAACGCUAAUAUCGUUGCACAUUGACGUUACCUACAGAAGAAGCACCGGCUAACUCUGUGCCAGCAGCCGCCGUAA